This 129-nucleotide small RNA is filed under the name Marmota monax (woodchuck). Lineage: Eukaryota; Metazoa; Chordata; Mammalia; Rodentia; Sciuridae. The record is from RNAcentral.
GCUGGGUAGGCAUGAUGGUGCAUGCCUGUAAUCCCAGCAGCUUGGGAGGCUGAGGCAGGAGGAUCACAAAUUCAAAGCCAGACUCAGAAAAAGUGAGGUGCUAAGCAACUCAGUGAGACCCUGUCUCUA